AAUGCUAACUAAUUAAUAUCCAUCAAAAUGGAAACUUCAGUCUCCACCUUCAUUGCCAAAUAAAUUGUAACCUGCCUUAGUAGAAUCUCUAGUAUAGCCUCCCAUUCCAACAAGUUACUUGAUUCUUCAAUUUCAUGUACCAUGACCCUUACACUAGCUGUCAAUGUCGUUAAAUUUCAAACACAUUAUUGAGGUACUGAAGAAAGUAUAUUGGUGCCAAUAU
RNAcentral lists this long non-coding RNA (223 nucleotides) under Physcomitrium patens. RNAcentral's name for it is "long non-coding RNA (PPAT_LNC003478)". Lineage: Eukaryota; Viridiplantae; Streptophyta; Bryopsida; Funariales; Funariaceae. The record is from RNAcentral.